This 2198-nucleotide unclassified non-coding RNA is filed under the name Hevea brasiliensis (rubber tree). Lineage: Eukaryota; Viridiplantae; Streptophyta; Magnoliopsida; Malpighiales; Euphorbiaceae. The record is from RNAcentral.
UGGGCCUCACGCCCAAUUAUUAAGCCGAGGAGCAGUUGCACAUGUCACCUAACUUCAACAACUAUACACAAAUGAUGCUCGACAAAUUAAUCAACCUGUCACUCUUCUCCUUAGCUUCCUCAAAUCAUCCCUUCCAAAUCCCAUUCUGUAAAUAGAUGAACCAGUCGCUGGCCACCGCCAAGAUGUGAAUUGUCUUCUUGUCUUGUUGCAACUCCUACCAGCUUUUACUGAAUUUUUGAGCUGUUUCCUUUUUGUCCGAACCAGAACAUCUCGGAUUUCCCGGAAGUCGGUUUCUCCAUUACGGCUUCUAAUUUCUACAAUUCUUUUUUUCUAUUGGGGUUUCUAGAAAAACAAACUCCUUUUUCUAAACAUAUAAACAAUCCCAAUUUCACUUUUCACAACCCACCAACUACUAAUUCUAAUUUUAUGCAGUUGGUGUCUGCAGAGCUGAGAGCUUCAAGAAAAUGGCUGCUUUGAGGUCUUCUUCUUCUUCUUCUUCUGUCGAAGAAACUGAAAAUCAUCAUCAUAAAGAAGAGACUACCGGCAAUCAGAAGGUUUAUGAGCUGUUGAUUCCUGGUUUGCCUGAUGAAAUAUCUGAGCUUUGUCUUCUUCAUCUUCCUUACCCAUACCAAGCAUUGGCGCGUUCUGUUUCUUCUUCCUGGAACAGAGCUAUUCAUGACCCCAGCUUUAGUGUCUCCAAGAAAUCUCUAUCCCUCUCUCUGCCUUACCUUUUCGUUUUUGCGUUCCGUAAAUCAACGUCUAGGAUUCAAUGGCAAGCUCUGGACCCUCGAUCCGGCCGUUGGUUUGUUUUGCCUCCUAUGCCUUGUCCCAAGUCCGUAUGUCCACCGGGGUUUGCUUGCGCCUCGUUGCCACAUCAAGGGAAGCUCUUCGUUUUUGGUGGUAUGCGGUCGGACACUGAAACUUCCAUGGAGACGACGUAUGUUUACCAUUCAUCAACAAAUCAGUGGUCCGUAGCGUCUCCCAUGCUAACCCCACGGUCAUACUUCGCCGUCGGGAGUGCAAAUGGUAAGAUCAUUGCUGUUGGAGGAAGUGCGUCCGGCAUUGGUGAUUCAAUCACAGCCGCUGAAUGCUACGACCCUGAAAAAGACGCGUGGACGCCUGUUGCUAAAAUGCGCACGGGGUUAUGUAGGUACGAUUCGGCUGUGGUGGGGAACAAGAUGUACGUGACGGAAGGGUGGACAUGGCCUUUCAUGUUUUCACCGAGGGGUGGCGUGUACGAACCAGAUAAAGACACGUGGCAAGAACUGAGAGAUGGGAUGAGAGAAGGGUGGACAGGAUUAAGUGUAGUAGUGGGUGAGAGAUUAUUCGUGAUAUCGGAGCACGGAGACUGUCCGAUGAAAGUGUACCUCCCUGAUACGGACGCGUGGAGGUACGUGGGAGGGGACAGGUUCCCACGAGAUGCAAUGCGGAGGCCAUUUGCUGUGAGCGGAGCAGAAGGAAAAGUGUACGUGGUGUCAUGUGGGCUUAAUGUGGCAAUUGGGAGAAUAUAUGAACCCAAAAAAGAAGAAUAUUGCGUGGAAUGGGAGGUCGUCACUGCACCUAAGGCUUUUGCUGACUUUUCUCCUUCAAAUUGCCAGGUGCUUUUUGCGUAAUUUCCAUUCUUAUAUUCUCAGACUGGGAAUUAUUCAAUGAUCAUCAUUAUUAUUACAAAAAAAAAUUAAAAUGUAUUAAAAUAUUAAAAUUAUUCUUUGUCCCUAGCUUUAUACAACAUAACAAUAUGGUUUGGAUAGAUUUGUUUUGUUAGGCAAUAGAAGCAACUAUGGUUCACUUUUGUCUUAAAAUUACAGCGGGAGAGUGUCGUGUGAGUGAGAACAGAUCAGAUCAGAAAUUCUGUGGUUCUUAGUGUAAGGGGAGGCAUUGCUUAGACGGUAUUUUAAUUUAUUUUUUUGAGUUUGUUUGGAUUUUGAAUGAAUGAAUGAAUGAAUGGGAAUUCUUUUACAAAAUAAAGACCUCUAUUAUGUAACCAUGGAUGUGGAGAGUGGAAAACACAACAGUAGAGAGUUGAGUUCCUUCCCUUAUUAUCGUUAUUAUUUAAUUUUUUUUUUUAGAAAAAAAAUGUAAAGUUUAAUUAUAAAUAUAUUAUGAAAUUUCUUGUCAUUUAGUGAAUAAAGAAAAUGGUAAGACGGUGUGGAAACUGACAAAAUGGCUUACUAAAAUCAGGCUUACCAAGUUUGAAA